This 502-nucleotide ribosomal RNA is filed under the name uncultured bacterium. RNAcentral's name for it is "partial 16S ribosomal RNA". It matches the Rfam family "Bacterial small subunit ribosomal RNA", at positions 29 to 523 of the family's 1533-position model. The record is from RNAcentral.
AUUGAACGCUAGCGGCAUGCCUUACACAUGCAAGUCGAACGGCAGCGGGGGAGCUUGCUCCCGCCGGCGAGUGGCGAACGGGUGAGUAAUACAUCGGAACGUACCCAGUAGCGGGGGAUAGCCCGGCGAAAGCCGGAUUAAUACCGCAUACGCCCUACGGGGGAAAGGGGGGGAUCGCAAGACCUCUCACUAUUGGAGCGGCCGAUGGCUGAUUAGCUAGCUGGUGGGGUAAAGGCCUACCAAGGCGACGAUCAGUAGCUGGUCUGAGAGGACGACCAGCCACACUGGGACUGAGACACGGCCCAGACUCCUACGGGAGGCAGCAGUGGGGAAUUUUGGACAAUGGACGAAAGCCUGAUCCAGCAAUGCCGCGUGUGCGAAGAAGGCCUUCGGGUUGUAAAGCACUUUUGUCAGGGAAGAAAUCGUUUGGGUUAAUACCCCGAGCAGUUGACGGUACCUGAAGAAUAAGCACCGGCUAACUACGUGCCAGCAGCCGCCGUAA